Molecule: long non-coding RNA, 367 nt
Organism: Dreissena polymorpha
Lineage: Eukaryota; Metazoa; Mollusca; Bivalvia; Myida; Dreissenidae
Exons: 3
Source: RefSeq, a predicted model, not a curated record
AUGUAUUUGCAGCUGCACUAUAACGCAAAAGGGAUACAUACUUAUCGAUGCUAGCAUUUGAAAUAUAUAAUUAUAUAUAUAUUGUGAGUUAUUACAAACUGAUUAUUUACUAACUAAAUCGUGGUUGCUGUUGCCGACAUUACACGUCAACAGGUAUGCCAUACUGCCGGAAAGUGUUGGUUGUGGUGAUGCUCUGCCUUCUCGGUUCUAUUCUGGUACAGGAAACUGCAGCUCGUUGCAAUUGCCGCAAGCGAUGCCUUUACAGUGAAUGCCAUGCAGGCGCUUGCGCAGAGAACGAUACGCUGUUCAACUGUUGCCCAGACCAUUCGAGGAUUUGCAAGGGAGUAAAACCAAAAUGACAGUUGAC